RNAcentral lists this ribosomal RNA (497 nucleotides) under uncultured bacterium. RNAcentral's name for it is "partial 16S ribosomal RNA". It matches the Rfam family "Bacterial small subunit ribosomal RNA", at positions 28 to 507 of the family's 1533-position model. The record is from RNAcentral.
GAUGAACGCUGGCGGCGUGCCUAAUACAUGCAAGUCGAGCGAACAGAUGAGGAGCUUGCUCCUCUGACGUUAGCGGCGGACGGGUGAGUAACACGUGGAUAACCUACCUAUAAGACUGGGAUAACUUCGGGAAACCGGAGCUAAUACCGGAUAAUAUAUUGAACCGCAUGGUUCAAUAGUGAAAGACGGUUUUGCUGUCACUUAUAGAUGGAUCCGCGCCGCAUUAGCUAGUUGGUAAGGUAACGGCUUACCAAGGCAACGAUGCGUAGCCGACCUGAGAGGGUGAUCGGGCACAAUGGAACUGAGACACGGUCCAGACACCGACGGGAGGCAGCAGUAGGGAAUCUUCCGAAAUGGGCGAAAGCCUGACGGAGCAACGCCGCGUGAGUGAUGAAGGUCUUCGGAUAGUAAAACUCUGUGAGUAGGGAAGAAAAAAUGUGUAAGUAACUAUGCACGUCUUGACGGUACCUAAGCAGAAAGCCACGGCUAACUACGUG